This 465-nucleotide ribosomal RNA is filed under the name uncultured bacterium. Its description in RNAcentral is "partial 16S ribosomal RNA". It matches the Rfam family "Bacterial small subunit ribosomal RNA", at positions 338 to 795 of the family's 1533-position model. The record is from RNAcentral.
CCUACGGGGGGCAGCAGUGGGGAAUAUUGCGCAAUGGGCGAAAGCCUGACGCAGCGACGCCGCGUGAGGGAUGAAGGUCUUCGGAUCGUAAACCUCUGUCAGCAGGGAAGAACGGUCACUGUGCUAAUCAGCAGUGAAUUGACGGUACCUGCAAAGGAAGCACCGGCUAACUCCGUGCCAGCAGCCGCGGUAAUACGGAGGGUGCGAGCGUUAAUCGGAAUUACUGGGCGUAAAGCGAUCGUAGGCGGUAUGUCAAGUCAAGGGUGAAAUCCCCGCGCUCAACGUGGGAACUGCCUUUGAAACUGGCAAACUGGAGUGUGUGAGAGGAGAGUGGAAUUCCAGGUGUAGGAGUGAAAUGCGUAGAUAUCUGGAGGAACAUCAGUGGCGAAGGCGACUAUCUGGCACAUAACUGACGCUGAGGAGCGAAAGCGUGGGUAGCAAACAGGAUUAGAUACCCCUGUAGUC